UACAAUGGGGAAGAUCUGCAUUCGACGCGACACACAUACGGGGUGGCUUUUAUUAGCUACUCAUUUAAUGCGUUAGGGAAACUCUCCAAGCAAUAUCCCUUUAUUGGGUGGCACUUGUAAAGAGUGCCGGAUGGGCCAUUUUUAUGGCUUGCUGUUCUAUCUUCCUUUCUGGCAAAGCUGAGUCUGGGGAGCUCUGGGGCAGUCACAUUUUCUUGCUAUAACAACAGUCAUUGCAGGUGCCCUGGGCAAUCUUUUUUGUCUUUGGGAUAACUCAAUGGAGACUACUCUCCUUCAUUGU
RNAcentral lists this RNase MRP RNA (298 nucleotides) under Phycomyces blakesleeanus NRRL 1555(-). RNAcentral describes it as "RNase MRP". It matches the Rfam family "RNase MRP". Rfam says of the family: RNase MRP is an enzymatically active ribonucleoprotein with two distinct roles in eukaryotes. In mitochondria it plays a direct role in the initiation of mitochondrial DNA replication. Lineage: Eukaryota; Fungi; Mucoromycota; Mucoromycetes; Mucorales; Phycomycetaceae. The record is from Rfam by way of RNAcentral.